RNAcentral lists this long non-coding RNA (10104 nucleotides) under Homo sapiens (human). RNAcentral describes it as "non-protein coding lnc-SLC12A7-5:15". Lineage: Eukaryota; Metazoa; Chordata; Mammalia; Primates; Hominidae. The record is from RNAcentral.
AUUCCGAUCCGCUGCCCCUGAGAGGUGGGCCUUGGGAGAGGCAGGGCUUGGACGCCCUUCCUCGGGGCAGCGGGGUGCAGGGAGAGUUCUUCUGGCUGUGAGUCCCGGAGUCCCCGACCCUGGCACCCCUUCAGCAAGGUUCUCAGGCACAUCUGCCGGGGGCGCUGAGGGGACCUGAGAUGGACGGGCCGGGAGGGAGGCUGAGGUAAGACCUGAGGCUGAGGUAAGACCUCAGCCUGAGGUAAGACACAGUGCUGGGGCCUCCCUUGAAGCCCGUUUGAAGUGAGGUCCCCACAGCUGUCAGAGGACACGCAGGGUGGGGGCUCCUGGGUGGGAAACAGGUAAACCUCUUGGGCGCCUGGGGCUGGAGGCCUGAGUGGUCCUGAAAAGAACAUUCAGGCCAGGCGCAGUGGCUCACACCUGUAAUCCCAGCACUUUCGGGGGCUGAGGCGGGUGGAUCACAAGGUCAAGAGAUCGAGACCAUCCUGGCCAACAUGGUGAAACCCCGUCUCUACUAAAGACACAAAAGCUAGCUGCAUGUGGUGGCGCACGCCUGUAGUCCCAGCUCCUCUUAGGGAGGCUGAGGCAGGAGAAUCACUUGGACCCAGGAGGCGGAGGUUGCAGUGAGCUGAGAUUGCGCCACUGCACUCCAGCCUGGCGACACAGCGAGACUCUGUCUCAAAAAUAAAUAAAUAAAUAAAUAAAAAGAAAAGAAAAGAACAUUUAGUGAAAGGAGCAAGGAAGAGAAGGCAUUCUGGGCAGACCCCGGCCCCCAGGGCACAGGCGUGCAGUGUUUCCCUUCCAGGGUUUGGUGGACACUUGGAGGGACCAGGUCGGGGUGUGGCCUGGGAGGGGUGGCCAAGGUCCAGGGGUCAGGGUCACUUCGGGGAAGUCCAAGGGGCAGCGCGGAGCCACCGCUGUGGACAUGGGAGGAGCCUACUAGCCAGCAUGGCCCAAAGGAAGGAGGGGCUGAGGGUCAGAGGUCAUGGGAGAGAAGAGGGAGUGGGGCAGACCCUCUCCCAAGGCCAUGGGGUGGGGGAGAAACAGCGCCUUAGGGCCUGUCCUGAUCCUCCUCCAGAGCCUGCUCAGAGUGGGAGCAGCCCCUCCUCCCUUCCCCUCCACCACCCAGGCGCAGGUGCGGCCUCUCCCUGGCCCGGGGACCUGCGUGAGGUCAGCCCUCAAAGCGCUGUCCCUUCUGGCUCACCUGGGCCCAGGGUGAGGCCCGACCCCACGGUGGACCCUGAGUCACUGCAGCUUCUGUGCCCAGCUCAGGAACAGAGCAGCCUUCAAGGCCAGGACUGGGGAGGGGCUCGGCUUUUCCGGCCCUUGGACGCCACUCAACUCUUCCUGCCCGUGUGUUGGCAAAGAACUAGCACGGCCUCUGAAGCACUGAAAAGACAAGGGCUACCUCUUUUCCAGAAGGUCCCAGAGCCCACCAUGAGCAGGCAGUGUUUGGGAAAAGCCCGGGGAGGUGGCAGGGGCUCCGAGGAGCGGGGGAUUCUAAGGGGUUAUAGCUGCGCUGAGCCCCGGGCUCCUCAGAAGCCUCAGAAGGAGAAGGGGGCUCCUUUGGGGGCAUCCUCCCUGCAUCCGGGGUGUUGCAGGGUGACCUCCCGUAGUGCCAGCAGGGGCGGCCCCUCGGUCUGGCCAGAGAAGCCCAGCCACUGUCCCGUAUGGUGGAUGUCAGGCCCAGUGCCGUGUUUCCGAAGGAGGGAAGGGGUGAGAGGCAGCAGCCAGACACCCCGCUGAGCCCGCCCCGACCCUGAGCACGUGGGAGCUGGAGACGGUGUCACACACUCGGCCUGGCUUUGGGACCAUCCCUAGGGCUUCUGUGGGGAGGAGGAAGGAGGAGCAGACGUGGAAGGGCUGCCAGGGCCCCAGCAGAUGGGGUCGGGGGCGGAGGAGAGCCAGGAAAGUGUGGGCGCCUGGGGGAGUCACAGAUGGAGGUCUGGUACCUAGAGCCUGGAGAACGACGGCUCUCGGGACAGAGGGCCUCAGACUCUGGCACACCAGCCGUACCUAUGACAAGCUCCAUGGGGGAAGAACCAGGCACCUGGAUGCAUGGCUGUGAGGCCCCCACCCCACAGGGGCCUCAGAGGCACAGGCUCCAGGCUCCAGCGGGGAGGGCGCUGCAUCCCACCCUGGGAGCAUGGCUAUGAGGCCCCCACCCCACAGGGGACCCAGAGGCACAGGCUCCAGGCUCCAGCGGGAAGGGCCCUGCUCCCCACCCCCAUCCCCCGCCUCAGGCUUCACUGAGAUGGGCCCCGGGGACCCCGGGAGCUUUCUGUGACUGCUCGGCAAUGGGUUCCCCAAGGCCUGGCACAGGCUUUCCUUAGAGCCAGGCUGUGGACCCAAAGCCUUGGGCCAAGUCUCAGGACCAGAUGGGCGGCUCUGGAGAGGACCCCACAGUCCAGGGUGAGGCGCGCCCCGCUGGGGGCAGCGCUGCCUGUGGAGAGGACCCCACAGUCCAGGGUGAGGCGCGCCCCGCUGGGGGCAGCACUGCCCGUGGCCGUCUCCAUCCAUCUCACCCUGACGCAAGGCCGGCUUCCUCUGCGUCCAGUGGUCGGGGCCUUGGAGAGGCCAGCAGGGCCCGUGGGGGUCGCGUUUCUUCCCUGUGGCAUCAGCUCUUUUCCCAGCAGGCCUCUUUGCAGCUGGAUGCAGCAGCCAAGCCCUGGAGUCUUUGGAAAACUGUGGCCUGGCGGGGGCCCAGGCAAUGCCACCUUACAGGGGACACCCACACAGGCGGUCCCGAGGAGGGGUGUGCUGCCGCCCUGAGCUCAGCCAGGCAUCACCGUGGUGUCACCGUCAGCUCGGGUGGCACCUCCCGGGCUGCCCUCUCGGCUGCCACUUCUCAUGAAACUGACAGGGACUGAACACGAAUGAUGUGGCUUAUAGCUGGGUGCCCCCACCCUGACCACAGGUGCCACGCGACGGGAGCCACAUUCUCUUCCUGAUUCUAACUCCACGGGUACAGAGACAGAAGCUGCCAUCUUUAGAAAUAAAACUUUUUUCUAACUACAAAAUAAUACAGUUUAAUAUAGGAAAUGUGGAAAAUGGGGUAUUCGGGGUGGAUAUUGAGAAGAGAGAAGCAACACCAAUUCUAUGUGCGAGACGCUGGCACUUCCCAGCGUAGCCUUGUGUUCCUGACCCUGGGGUGGCCUGAGCGUGGCCUGUGGGGCCCGUGUCCAGGUGCGGAGGGGGCCCUGAGUCGUGCGGGGCAAGUGGUCAGGGCCCCAGGCCCAGGCUGCCUGGAGCGAGAUGACUGGGCCUGGCCCCUGGGGACUUGCUCUGACAAAACCCCCCGGUCCCCACUCCUGAGCCCCUGCAGGAGCAGCCCUGGGAACAUGGGGAGCAGCUCCUUCUGCCUAUGUGCUCCGGACUCAGGAACUCUGGAGAGAAGAAACACAACCCCACAGGCCCCGCCUGCCUCUCCUGCAGUCUUGAGGCCCCAGGGAAAGCCCCCACUGCAGGCAGGGGGACGUGGCUGGCCUGGUCUGCCCCCAGCUGAGCCUCACCUGAGGGAGAGCUGGGGUGGGCCGCCUCGUUUACGACCGUGUAGUCGUCUUUUGCACACAAAGCCAUGUGAGUCCGUACGUGAGUCCUGUGGAAAGACAAGACAUGGAAUAGGAGUGACGUCCGUCCCCAGGCAUGAAGUGGAGAGCAUCACGCUGUGUGAGUUAAACACUGGCCAAGCACGGUGUGAGUCGGAGCCGGGGACCUGGCCAGAUGAGGGCUGCGUGCAGCUUUCACACCCCAGGCACGUGAGCACCGCCAAGCCCAGCCUCAGCCAGCAGCUGCUCUGCAAUGUGGAGUCACCAGUGGCCCCAAGGAUGGCAGGUGGGGGUGGCCUUGGGACUGAAUUAGGCCGACACCCAAGGCCUCUGUUCCUUCCCGUCCCUUCUCUCCCUUCGGAGGAUCAAAUGAGAGUUUCUAGGAAAGAAAACAUGGCCAGGCCCUCCUCCAGCGCCCAGGCAGGGCUCGAGCGGACGCCCGUGUGACCCCCACAUCCCUUCUACCCCUGUAGCUCUCUGACUCUGAUAUCCCAGUGGGAGGAACGAGGAGGGGACGGGUGAGGAGGAGGAAGAGGAGGAGACAUGAGGGUUAGGAGGAGCACAUCCUGAGUUUGUGAGGCUUCACUGACCUCUGGCCUCACAAACACACACAGGCCUGAGCUCCGGAUAUUUCUCCUGUUCUGGAGACAGUGAGAAGUGAAAGAGAAAUGGCUGCCCCUGCACCACUUACCGCGAAGGAGGCUCAAGGCUGGGGGGCCCCUCUGCCUUCCAGUGACCGCCCGUGUCACAUCCUGACCCGCUCAGCAGGAGAGACGGCCAGAGGCAUGGAUGCACGCUGACUCGUGGACGGCCGCUGUUUGACGAGACCAUCAAGGAGGGAGGAGCACCCGUGGAAAGGCGUGGCAGGGUGGUCGGGGCAGAGGUGUACAUCAGCCUAUCCAAUGCUCACGGCUGGAGGACGCCGCGCCCUGUGAAUGCUCACUGAGGACCAUCCCGGGCACUGGGGCUCUCCAUGUGAGAAUGGACAAUAUGCUGCCUUCCCAGCUGCCCCAUCCUUCCUGCGAGAGCUUGGGGAUGGGUGGCCACAGUGGCACUGGGGAGAACACGAGGGCUCCCCAGCAAGCGUUUUCUCUCAUGGAGGUGGCUCUGGUCACAGCGUCACUGCAGGGCGCAGCCACGGUGGCGGCCAAUGGAAACUGGGCUCUUCUUUUUCUUUUUUUUUUUGAGACAGAGUCUCGCUCUGUCACCCAGGCUGGAGUACAAUGGCAGGAUCUCGGCUCACUGCAACAUCCACCUCCCGGGUUCAAGUGAUUCUCCUGCCUCAGCCUCCUGAGUAGCUGGGAUUACAGGUGCCAGCCACCACGCCCGGCUAAUUUUUGUAUUUUUAGUAGAGACAGGGUUUCACCAUGUUGGUCAGGCUGUCUCGAACUCCUGACCUCGUGAUCUGCCCGCCUUGGCCUUCUCAAAGUGCUGGGAUUACAGACAUGAGCCACCGCGCCCGGCCAAAACUGGGCUUUUCUACGGUGGGGAGAGCAGAGCUAUUCUCUCUGGGGUGGGUGCUUGUCUGGGACUUGUCACCAUCCCUUACUCCAGGGCUGUCUUCAGCACUGUCGCCCACAGUCUUUCCGAACGCCUUAUUCAGAUGUUAUAAUUUCCCACACGAUGUUCCUGACCAAGAAACGCAUUUUACAGCAAAGGGGUGAGGAACGGAUCUGUGGCCAUAGGAUCCCAGAGCCGUGUCCCCGCCACUCAGGAGCAGGCGACCUGAGCAGAAGGGCUUGGCGCUGGUGGGCAGUGGGAGCCCUGCCAUGGGCGGCCCGAGGGGUGGUGGGAUCCCCGCCGUGGGCAACCCCGGGGGCGGUGGGAGCCACGCUGUGGGUGGGCUGGAGGCCCUACUGGGUGUGCUACCGGAAGGGAGGUCCUGACUGUGAGUCCAUGUUCCUGGCAUGUUGAACAAAGAAUUGAGCAAAACUCACAAAACGACAAAUAACAGAGUAAUGAAAGCGCAGAUCCUUUGCAGUGAACAUGCACUCCACAAGGGGGGACGGGACUCCAGCAAGUGCUCCGGAGCCCCCAUUAGGGUUUGUAUUGGGCUAAAAGAAUUUGGUAACACCCCCAGGUGCCCUUUCCAGGUCUCUGAUUGGCUGCAUCCUAUGAAGACUGGCCUGCGGCCAAUCAGAGGCUGAGGUGGAGACUCCUGUCUUGUUUUCCCAGGAAGGAGGCUGCGGCCUGUGUGCCGCCCAAUCCAGCCAGGAACCGGUGGCACCUGCUGCCCUCCGGCUUCUGCCUUAGCCCUCGGUGACCCCAUUCCCUGUUCUCCUGCCUCAGGUGCAGGGCGAUGGUUCUCAGUCAACGCUGGGGCCAGAGCCGGGGCUGGGGCCGCUCGUUCUGCACAGGUCCCGGGAGUGGCGGUGAGCAAUGCUCUCGCUCUCAGCGACCCACGUGCAAAGCGCUCCCUGCGCCCCCGACCCCGCAGCUUUGGGCUCUGCUGACUUCAAGGCUUCAUUCUUCCUCCAGGAGAACACAGCAGGUCCCUCCGACCGCAGUCGGCCUCUCCAGCCUGCCAUGCCUCUGGCCAUGAGGCGACCCGCUGGAGUGAUGGAUUCCCGUCACUACCACCCACAGGGCGAGGGGGUGCAUUGGUCUGCUUGGGCCGCUGUAACAAAAUGCCACAGCCUGGAUGAGUGACUGACAUUGCUUCCCCACCGUUCUGGAGGCUGGAGGCCCGAGAUCGAGGUCCCUGACACUAUUUCAGUGAUGCCAGAGCCCAGGAGGAGUCGACCAAGCCCCAGCGUGGCCAUAAGCACCUUCGCAGGACCACGGAGUCGCUGCAGGUGUUCAGCCCUGUUGAGAGUGGGAGUCGGUGUCGAUGGUCACAGCUCAGUAACUCAUCGUCACCAGCGAGUACCACAGAGCAGACACAACUGCACUUCUCUGUAGAGCCUCCAGUCGAUACUGAGAGCCACUGGGGCGUCUGACACCCAAGGGUGCAGACAUUCACUCCAAGUCCAGAGACCGCGCCCUUUCUAAGGCCCUGUCUCACAGUCGCCCCGUGCUCAUUGUGCCGGAUGUUUCCACAGCCACAGAGACGGUGAGGUGCAGCCUAGUGCAUAUGACUGACAGAAACGUGAAGCCACAGUGGACGCCUGGAUGAGACACAGAUCACCUUCCAAAUCUGAGUGUGGCCUUGGGACCAACCAGGCAGCCAGGGAGAAGGCAGAGACCAGAGGGAACCCAGGUGCCCUCAAUCCCAGCCUCCUCUAUCCCAGCCUCCCAAUCCCAGCCUCCCCAAUCCCAGCCUCCUAAUCCCAGCCUCCUCCAUCCCAGGACCCCCACUCCCAGCCUCCCGAUCCCAGCUUCUCUGAUCCCAGCCUCCCCUAAAACCCAGACUCUAUGAAUCCCAGCCUCUGAGGUGGGAACUGUUAGUAACCCCACUCCAUGGACAAGAAAGCUGGGGCCUGGCGAGGCUAACAGACUAUCCUGAUGGUGUGAGGGAGGGAUCGGCCUCUGAGGGCUGCUUCCACCCAUCUCACCAGUGGCUGCAGGCUCCAGGCGCCACUUUCCUUGAGUCUAUGUUCUUUCCAAGCAUCCUGCAGCUCCAGAAGCUCUGGAGCCGCCAGCACUGAGAGAAGCGAUGGAGCUGCAUGCAGGGAAACUUUGUUGACAGCGGUGUCUGGAUGGACCAGCAGAGGGCACUCUCACCCACGGGGAAAAUCGUGCGCCCGGCCUCGUCCACCGCCAGAAGACGCCGCUACACAAUGGAGUCUCGCUCUGUCGACCAGGCUGGAGUGCAAUGGUGCGAUCUCGGCUCACUGCAAUCUCUGCCUCCCGGUGAGAGGUGAAGCCAGCUGGACUUCCUGGGUCUAGUGGGGACUUGGAGAACUUUUCUGUCUAGCUAAAGAUUUGUAAAUGCACCAAUCAGUGCUGUGUCUAGCUAAAGUUUGUAAACGUACCAAUCAGCACUCUGUAAAAAUGGGCCAAUCAGCACUCUGUAAAAUGGACCAAUCAGCACUCUGUAAAAUGGACCAGUCAGCAGGAUGUGGGCGGGGUCAAAUAAAGGAAUAAAAAGCUGGUAGCCGAGCCGGCAGUGGCAAACCGUUUGGGUCCUUCUCGGUACCCUGGUGGCUUUGUUGUUUUGCUCUUUGCAAUAGAUCUUGUUGCCGCUUGCUCUUUGGGGCCUCACUGCCUUUAUGAGCUAUAACACUCCCCGCAGAGGUCUGCAGCUUCAUUCUUGAAGCCAGCGAGACCACGAACCCACUGGGAGGAACCAACAACUCCAAACGCGCCACCUGUAAGAGCUGUAACACUCCCUGUGAAGGUCUGUGGCUUCACUCCUGAAGUCAGCGAGACCAGGAACCCACCGGAAGGAACUCCGGACACAAAGAACUGCAACACUCACCCGAGGGUCUGUGGCUUCAUUCUUGAAGUCAGUGAGAUUAAGAACCCACCGGAAGGAACCAGUUCCGGACGUGCCGAGUUCAAGCAAUUGUCCUGCCUCAGUCUCCGGAGUAACUGGGAUUACAGGUGCACGCUGCCAUGCCCAGCUAAUUUGUAUUUUAGUAGAGUCGAGGUUUCACCGCGUUGCCCAGGCUGGUCUCGAAUUCCUGAGCUUGGGCAACCCACUCACCUCGGCCUCCCAAAGUGCUAGGAUUACAGGCGUGAGCCACCAGGCCGGGCCCGUAUGGUGGUUUCUACUCCGGACUGACUCUCCCGGGUCUUGGUCACUCUGCAGAAUCCUGGACCGGAAGGGGGCCUCGGCCAGGGGAGGGCUUGCGAGGAGCCCCGGACCUACUGGCCAUUAUAGGGUGACGGGAAGUUCCUUGCAUCCCGGGAUCCCAUGGCACUUGGUCAGGGAAGCCUCCCCAGAGAGGCCCAACUCCCCAGAUCCAGGUGGGGAAUCAGGGUACCAGCCAGGCAGUGUUCCCACCCCAGCCAUGCUGCUGGCUUCCGUCCCUGUGGUGGGGUCACCCAGGUGGCUCAUGCCUCCACGCACAGCCUUGUGGACACCCCCACACCGCCCAUAGUCAAGUCAGAGCUCACGAGCCCACAGGGCAGAUACCCGCCACGAGGGGACGGUGGGCCAGGAGGGUCCUCUGUGGGCAGCGCCGUGUUCCUGAUCUCCCCAGGCUGCUGGGGGAUGGGGUGGGGCAGAGGAGGCCACCUUCCCAUUUCCCACUUUGCUGGGUCUCCCUCUUUGCUGGACAGUGCUGGGGCAGGUUACACACCCAUGACAGUGUGAGGACUGAGGGUGCGCGUCCUGGAGCCUUCAGGGCUUGGGUGGAGGGGGCAGCUUGUCCCCCUGAGGCCUGGGCCAGAGAUCCCAUUCUGAAUGCGGAGAGCCAAGAUUCUACCUGGAUCCUGGCCUUGUGGGUCACUGUGACGGCCCAGAGCUGACUUUAUGUGACAGUUUGUCCUGAGAUUUAAAACUGAAUAUUUAGACUCGUGGGAUCUGGGCAUCCACUUCAACCAAGGAUGGGGACAGGCAGCAGGGUGGAGGGUGGACGAUGCAGGAAGAUGCUGUAGGACCAAGAACAAGGGGGCUGUGAGGCAAAGGAGCAGCACGAGGAGCCGUGUGUGCCCACUGCCACUUGCAGCCUCAUUUCUCAACCCGACUGUGAUGACUGCCGCUUGCUGGAAAGAUGCUCUGAAGACACAAUGAACUGACAAUGCGUCACCCCGACUCCUGCCUGAGCCACUCCAUUCCUUAAAGACGGUACGUGACUCACGUCCUUGCUGUGUCCUGCACGAGAUAAGGUCUGGCAGGGUUGGUAAUUAUGCCUCUGGGAUCUGUAACCAGACAUUCUCUGUAACCAUUCUGUAUAAUCUGGACGUUCUCUGUAAUCCAGAUGUUCUGUGUAAACUGAAGUUCUCUGUAAUUGGACUUUCUCUAUAACCAGUUGUCCUCUGUAACCUUCUCUAUAAUCCAGAUGUUCUUUGCAACCAGAUAUUCUCUCUAACCAGACAUUCUGUAUAAUCCAGACAUUCUCUGUAACCAGAUGUUUUCUAUAAUCCAGAUUUUUUUUUUUUUUUGAGACAGUUGCACUCUUUUUGCCCAGGCUGGAGUGCAAUGGUGAGAUCUUGGCUCCCUGCAACCUCCACCUCCCAGGUUCAAGCGAUUCUCCUGCUUCAACCUCCCUAGUAGCUGAGAUUACAGGCAUGCACCACCAUGCUUAGCUAAUUUUGUAUUUUUAGUAGAGACGGGGUUUCUUCAUGUUGGUCAGACUGCUCUCAAACUCCUGACCUCAGGUGAUCCGCCCACCUCGGCCUCCCAAAGUGCUGGGAUGACAGACGUGAGCCACCGCACCCGGCCCUGGAUGUUCUUUUUAAUCCAGAUAUUCUCUGUAAUCCAGACGUUCUCUACAACCAGACAUUCUCUGUAAUCGGACAUUCAGUACAAUCCAGGCUUUCUCCGUAACCAGACGUUCUCUAUAAUCCAGACGUUCUCUGUAACCCACACGCAGCUCCGUGUGACUCUGCUCUUCCGUGACUUCUGCGUCUAUAAUCCAGACGUUCUCUGUAACCCACGUGCAGCUCCGUGUGACCCUGCUCUUCCGUGACUUCUGCGUCUAUAAUCCAGACGUUCUCUGUAACCCAC